Molecule: ribosomal RNA, 440 nt
Filed under: uncultured bacterium
Lineage: Bacteria
Description: bacterial SSU rRNA
Rfam family: Bacterial small subunit ribosomal RNA
Source: RNAcentral
GCACAACGCGAAGAACCUUACCUGGUCUUGACAUAGUAAGAACUUUCCAGAGAUGGAUUGGUGCCUUCGGGAACUUACAUACAGGUGCUGCAUGGCUGUCGUCAGCUCGUGUCGUGAGAUGUUGGGUUAAGUCCCGCAACGAGCGCUAACCCUUUUCCUUAUUUGCCAGCGGGUUAAGCCGGGAACUUUAAGGAUACUGCCAGUGACAAACUGGAGGAAGGCGGGGACGACGUCAAGUCAUCAUGGCCCUUACGACCAGGGCUACACACGUGCUACAAUGGUCGGCACAAAGGGUUGCUACCUAGCGAUAGGAUGCUAAUCUCAAAAAGCCGAUCGUAGUCCGGAUUGGAGUCUGCAACUCGACUCCAUGAGGUCGGAAUCGCUAGUAAUCGCGGAUCAGAAUGCCGCGGUGAAUACGUUCCCGGGUCUUGUACACACCG